AAUCGCUUCAGGGCGGGGUGUAAUUCCCCACCGGUGGUAAAUGCAACGUAUAUAGGUAUACGAUUGAAUCAGCCCACGAGCCUAUCAUGUUGUAUAUAUGAUUCGCAGAUUUGGUGAAAUCCCAAAGCCGACGGUAUAGUCCGGAUGAAAGAAGACGAAA
This 160-nucleotide non-coding RNA is filed under the name Acinetobacter sp. RNAcentral's name for it is "FMN sequence". It matches the Rfam family "FMN riboswitch aptamer (RFN element)". From Rfam's summary of the family: The RFN element is a highly conserved domain that is found frequently in the 5'-untranslated regions of prokaryotic mRNAs that encode for flavin mononucleotide (FMN) biosynthesis and transport proteins. This element is a metabolite-dependent riboswitch that directly binds FMN in the absence of proteins. The record is from RNAcentral. Lineage: Bacteria; Pseudomonadati; Pseudomonadota; Gammaproteobacteria; Moraxellales; Moraxellaceae.